This 253-nucleotide ribosomal RNA is filed under the name uncultured Actinomycetales bacterium. RNAcentral's name for it is "partial 16S ribosomal RNA". It matches the Rfam family "Bacterial small subunit ribosomal RNA", at positions 77 to 334 of the family's 1533-position model. Lineage: Bacteria; Bacillati; Actinomycetota; Actinomycetes; Actinomycetales. The record is from RNAcentral.
CUUGCUGGGGUGGAUUAGUGGCGAACGGGUGAGUAACACGUGAGUAACCUGCCCUUUACUUCGGGAUAAGCUUGGGAAACUGGGUCUAAUACCGGAUAUUCUGCGUGAUCGGAUGGUUGUGUAGGAAAGAUUUUUGGUAAGGGAUGGGCUCGCGGCCUAUCAGUUUGUUGGUGGGGUGAUGGCCUACCAAGACGACGACGGGUAGCCGGCCUGAGAGGGCGACCGGCCACACUGGGACUGAGACACGGCCCAG